UACGAAGGGGCUAGCGUUGUUCGGAAUUACUGGGCGUAAAGGGCGCGUAGGCUGUGCUGUAAGUCAGGCGUGAAAUCCCCGGGCUCAACCUGGGAAUUGCGUUUGAUACUGCGGCGCUGGAAUGCAGGAGAGGAUGGCGGAAUUCCCAGUGUAGAGGUGAAAUUCGUAGAUAUUUGGGAAGAACACCGGUGGCGAAGGCGGCCAUCUGGCCUGUAAUUGACGCUG
Molecule: ribosomal RNA, 225 nt
Filed under: uncultured bacterium
Lineage: Bacteria
Description: partial 16S ribosomal RNA
Rfam family: Bacterial small subunit ribosomal RNA
Source: RNAcentral